GCGCCCGUAGCUCAGCUGGAUAGAGCGUUGGCCUCCGGAGCCAAAGGUCGAAGGUUCGAAUCCUUUCGGGCGCACCA
This 77-nucleotide transfer RNA is filed under the name Vibrio vulnificus. RNAcentral's name for it is "tRNA-Arg". It matches the Rfam family "tRNA". From Rfam's summary of the family: Transfer RNA (tRNA) molecules are approximately 80 nucleotides in length. Their secondary structure includes four short double-helical elements and three loops (D, anti-codon, and T loops). The record is from RNAcentral. Lineage: Bacteria; Pseudomonadati; Pseudomonadota; Gammaproteobacteria; Vibrionales; Vibrionaceae. RNAcentral also lists the same sequence under 18 other names.